This is a transfer RNA of Microsporidia sp., 74 nucleotides long. It matches the Rfam family "tRNA". From Rfam's summary of the family: Transfer RNA (tRNA) molecules are approximately 80 nucleotides in length. Their secondary structure includes four short double-helical elements and three loops (D, anti-codon, and T loops). NCBI's taxonomy places the organism in Eukaryota, Fungi, Microsporidia. The record is from Rfam.
GUUUCGAUGGUGUAGUUGGUUAUCACUUCUGUCUAACACACAGGCGGUCCUCGGUUCGAUUCCGGGUCGAAACA